Molecule: ribosomal RNA, 500 nt
Filed under: uncultured Micromonospora sp.
Lineage: Bacteria; Bacillati; Actinomycetota; Actinomycetes; Micromonosporales; Micromonosporaceae
Description: bacterial SSU rRNA
Rfam family: Bacterial small subunit ribosomal RNA
Source: RNAcentral
AGAGUUUGAUCCUGGCUCAGGACGAACGCUGGCGGCGUGCUUAACACAUGCAAGUCGAGCGGAAAGGCCCUUCGGGGUACUCGAGCGGCGAACGGGUGAGUAACACGUGAGCAACCUGCCCUAGGCUUUGGGAUAACCCUCGGAAACGGGGGCUAAUACCGAAUAUGACCUCGCAUCGCAUGGUGUGUGGUGGAAAGUUUUUCGGCCUGGGAUGGGCUCGCGGCCUAUCAGCUUGUUGGUGGGGUGAUGGCCUACCAAGGCGACGACGGGUAGCCGGCCUGAGAGGGCGACCGGCCACACUGGGACUGAGACACGGCCCAGACUCCUACGGGAGGCAGCAGUGGGGAAUAUUGCACAAUGGGCGGAAGCCUGAUGCAGCGACGCCGCGUGAGGGAUGACGGCCUUCGGGUUGUAAACCUCUUUCAGCAGGGACGAAGCGUAAGUGACGGUACCUGCAGAAGAAGCGCCGGCCAACUACGUGCCAGCAGCCGCGGUAAUAC